GUGAAAUGCGUGUGUCAAACGGGGCACUUCAGAACUAAACCAUUCUUUGUUUAAAGAAAUUGUAACUUAGAGAUGCAUUCAAAAAUAUGCAAAAACAGCCAUUUUGAAAUGCUCAAUUUUGAAGUCCCUUCUUUUUGUGCAAAUUCCCACAUUUUGUAUCAAGAGCCUUGAGUUUUGUCUAAACUCUUCAGGUUUUGCACGGACAAACAAAGCCUCUCAUUUUUGAGUAUGGAGCUCUAACUGUUCAAUACAUUUAAC
Molecule: non-coding RNA, 258 nt
Organism: Pelobates cultripes (western spadefoot toad)
Lineage: Eukaryota; Metazoa; Chordata; Amphibia; Anura; Pelobatidae
Source: the annotation of a GenBank genome assembly